RNAcentral lists this ribosomal RNA (237 nucleotides) under uncultured bacterium. RNAcentral's name for it is "partial 16S ribosomal RNA". It matches the Rfam family "Bacterial small subunit ribosomal RNA", at positions 118 to 347 of the family's 1533-position model. The record is from RNAcentral.
UGAGUAACCUGCCCUUAACUCUGGGAUAAGCCUGGGGAAACUGGGUCUAAUACCCGGAUAUGACUCCUCAUCGCAUGGUGGGGGGGUGGAAAGCUUUAUUGUGGUUUUGGAUGGACUCGCGGCCUAUCAGCUUGUUGGUGAGGUAAUGGCUCACCAAGGCGACGACGGGUAGCCGGCCUGAGAGGGUGACCGGCCACACUGGGACUGAGACACGGCCCAGACUCCUACGGGAGCAGG